RNAcentral lists this long non-coding RNA (1446 nucleotides) under Sus scrofa (pig). RNAcentral's name for it is "lncRNA (ENSSSCG00030054279.1)". The record is from RNAcentral. Lineage: Eukaryota; Metazoa; Chordata; Mammalia; Artiodactyla; Suidae.
CACCUGCUCUCGGGGGCCGCCUCCCCCGAAGCAGCGCCCCACGCAGUCCCUCCCGGCUGCCAAAUGGGCUACUCCUCUCCUCUGAGCCCGAGCUUCUGAAAGAAAACAAAGUUACUGAAAACUCAGACUUUACAGAAAUGCACAAAUUAGAAUGGAAGGAAUCACCAAAGCCCCACCUCCAGAUAAACUUGUACAGACGCCAAUCUGAAAUCCUGCACUCAGCUUCUGGCUCCUCUUUGACUCCAGAGAGAGGCGUUGCCAUUUCCAGGUGGAAGUACCCUUUUUCUCCUGGUUCGGGUGCAACGUGUUCAAGAAAGUCUCGGGUCCUGUUUCUUCUCCCGAUGCCCUGCUGGCUGGGCGGUCUUAGCCCCUCUCCUGGGAGCUCCUGGAUCGUGUGCCGGGCUCCGCUGUUGAGACCCAAGGACAGAGUGGGCUCAUCCCACUAGAACGACCGCAAAGAAGAACACUCCUUCCCUGCAUCGGCGGCUUCGUGUCACAGGUGGGUCCCUCUCUGGCCAGGUUGCCGUGUUCUCCUUCCCAACACCAGCCUCCAAAAGUAAACCGGGGGGUGGGGGGGCAGUGUCUUUGGGAAAAUCUUCUGUGACACCGACGGCGCCCUUUCAGGGGGCUUCAAACGGAAGAGGAGGAGGAGCCCACGCACAUACACGCAGGUGCACCACACGCACGCACACGCAUGCACACAGACGCCAGACUCUUCCAGCCGGAGCUACAGGACUUUGCGGACCUGGGCACGCAGCCCAUCCCUCUGCCCGUCCCUCUUUCCUCGGCCAGCAAGUCCCUGCAGGGCUGCACCUCUGUGGACGACAGUGGCCACCCAAGCCAGGUCCUAGCUCUGUCCUGCGUCCCAGCCUUCUUAUUUUCAGUCUCAUUGCGCCUUCCAGAAGGAACGUCCAUACGCUCCGGCCCUGACGGAACUCUCGGACAUCCAGCCCUUGUUUGAGCCCCGCUCAGGACAGGUGAGGCCCCCGCCACCAGGCAGCACUCCGGGCCUUCCAGCCUUGCAGCCGCUGCGAGCUGCUUCCUUCGAGAGUUUCUGAGCAGGUGUUGUGAAAAUAAUGAUUAUGUGGUUUGGCAGAUUCGAUCUCUGCAGCUAAUUGUUGACACUGAGUUUGUAUUACCCAAUACUUUGGGGUGGGGGACAAAAUAAUGCUAUUUUCUAGCCAGUAAGCCAGCAACUAUGUGUAAAGUCUUCGUCCUCUGGGUGGGGCAUAUGUUUUUCCAAGAAUCAAUUUUAAAAACAGGAUUGGCAGGUGCUGGCCACCUCCAACGAGCUCAAAAUGCAGAUCAAAACAACUGCAGGGCCAGCCUAGUCAGGCACUGACCUGGGCAGCCGUCCCUGAGCCCUGGUGGGGUGUCUAUGUCCGGUGGGCAGUUGAGAUGAAAGAGGGGUCCCCACCCUGCGACAGGCCCUGACCCUCCGACCCG